ACUGGACUGCCUGCCUGUUGCCCGACCCCGAUCUGUUUGUGAGUAACCGCAUCUGACUAACCCCUGUGAACCUCUGAACUCAGCCGGAUUAAGGACCUGGACUGGACCCCGACCCGCUCUGGAUCCGUCUCUGGACCCUCUCUGGACUUCUAACCCCUCGGCUCCUUCCCCGGACCCCCGUUUCUCUGCCCCGCUUCCUCGUUACUAGCCGGCGCUCGGAUUACCCGACUCUCCAGGGUUCCUGCAGACGUGAGCCGCUCGGGUUGCCGUGCGACCGCCAUUAAAUAAACACUUGAAAGCGUCA
This is a long non-coding RNA of Fundulus heteroclitus (mummichog), 304 nucleotides long. RefSeq lists it as uncharacterized. Lineage: Eukaryota; Metazoa; Chordata; Actinopteri; Cyprinodontiformes; Fundulidae. The record is from RefSeq and is a predicted model, not a curated record. The transcript is spliced from 2 exons.